This 253-nucleotide ribosomal RNA is filed under the name uncultured bacterium. RNAcentral's name for it is "partial 16S ribosomal RNA". It matches the Rfam family "Bacterial small subunit ribosomal RNA", at positions 524 to 776 of the family's 1533-position model. The record is from RNAcentral.
UACGUAGGUGGCAAGCGUUGUCCGUAAUUAUUGGGCGUAAAGCGCGCGCAGGUGGUUCCUUAAGUCUGAUGUGAAAGCCCACGGCUCAACCGUGGAGGGUCAUUGGAAACUGGGGAACUUGAGUGCAGAAGAGGAAAGUGGAAUUCCAAGUGUAGCGGUGAAAUGCGUAGAGAUUUGGAGGAACACCAGUGGCGAAGGCGACUUUCUGGUCUGUAACUGACACUGAGGCGCGAAAGCGUGGGGAGCAAACAGG